This 483-nucleotide ribosomal RNA is filed under the name Tulasnella sp. GV-69m. RNAcentral's name for it is "LSU rRNA". It matches the Rfam family "Bacterial large subunit ribosomal RNA", at positions 1627 to 2096 of the family's 2925-position model. Lineage: Eukaryota; Fungi; Basidiomycota; Agaricomycetes; Cantharellales; Tulasnellaceae. The record is from RNAcentral.
UUUAUUCAAGGUUAGCCUUAAUAAAAUAGAGAUAAUCAUAAGCUUAGCUGGCCGGGAGGCAGAAGUUAAAUUUAUAUAAGGAAAUGUAAAUCUACCCUUAAUAGGCUAGGUUGCUUUGUAUAUUACUAUAUUAGUAAUUCAAGGCCUUAAUAGUAUUUAAGUGGUGGCACAGAAUCGGAGGCCCCGACUGUUUACUUAAAACACAGCUUUCUGCGACGAAUAAUAUCUUUGUAUAGAAAGCGAAUUUUGCCCAAUGCCAUUAAUAUAAGGUCGAUAAGCGCUUAGCGUAAUUAUUUGGCUGAAGUUCUGGUCAAGGCGGUCUUAUCUAUGAGGAUCCUAAGGUAGCAAAAUUAAUUGUCCAUUAAAUGUGGUCCUGACUGAAUAAAGUAACGAUGGUCUCGCUGUCUCUACAAAGUAUCUCAGUGAAAUUGAAUUAGCCGUGCAGAUGCGGUUUAACUUCGGGUAGACGGGAAGACCCUAUGC